UGCCGGUCCGAGGCCUCUUCCGUAUGCAGGGAGCACCGUGGGGGCGUGGUGGUCAGACCAUAGAUGGCAUGUUAGGCUGAGGUAGAGGCUGGGUGCUUUCAGGAGAGCCUGGAAUGGCGGACUACCGAGCAGAGGAGGCAUGGCCAAGGGCCUGCUUUAGAAAAUUCACUCUUGAAGCAGAGAUGAAGUAGGUAUUCUGAAGCAAGAAGCCCACCCAGGAAGCUGAGGCGAACUUCUGGCAGUCCAUGGCUUCAUUUCUUCAGCAAACAGGCACUGAGUGCCCUGUUCCCACAAGUUUACGGUGUUGGAGCCGAAGCAAGCAAAAAAAAAAAAAAAACUAAACUAAACUGUGAUAAACAGAAAAUGGCGUCAUGGUUCUGCCAUAACGUACGUAACAGGAGUCCCUGAAUUUGAGGGGUCCCAGCAACGUCACCGAGGAGGAAGCGCUUGAACUGAGACCUACGGACAAGGUUGUUUCGGGGGCCCCUUGACGGAUUCUUUGAUGAGCCCUUAUGAGUCAAAGCUGGGAGAGGCGUCCUCCCUGGUGGGGACCGGGAAAGAGGAAGAGGAGGCCAGGAAAUGUCAACAGCCUUUGAAUAUGGCAAAGAUUGAGACAAGAAAAUAAGAUUAACUGACCAAUCCAAGGUGCGGAACUGGCACGGGAGAGAAAGGAACCGCGCCUUCCUUGGUGAAGAACCGACAAGGACACGGGACUAGGAUAAGAACAGGAUAAUCCCGGGUUCACAGACUUUGUAAGUCAAGCAAAUUCCAGAUCUGCCUCCAAGCCCAUCCUGGAUACGUUUGCAAUUUAGGAUUUCAUUCUUGUGUGUAUUAUAAACAUCUUGUCUGCCAGACCUAAGAAACUCCCCCACUCCCCCACUGGUUGAUUUUUUCUCCGCAAGCCUGUAGAUAUCCUUCAUGGUAACUUGACAAGAGAGAGGUGCUC
This is a non-coding RNA of Oryctolagus cuniculus (rabbit), 946 nucleotides long. The record is from RefSeq and is a predicted model, not a curated record. NCBI's taxonomy places the organism in Eukaryota, Metazoa, Chordata, Mammalia, Lagomorpha, Leporidae.